AGUCCCGCCAAGAGCAGAUGUGUGGUUCUGCCCCGGCGGGCCGGGCCGGGCCGGUCUUACCCCACGGGAAGCGCAGCGAUACCUGUAGAGUUUGUGUUUUGUCUCCGACAGCAAAUCACUGCAACAAAUCUGCAGCUGAAGGACAGCCAACAGCAUGUAGAUAGCAUUAAUGUCAGAGACACGUACAAGGUGCAGGUCUAAGGCCCAAAAAAUUAGGACUGUGCAGCAAAAAGAAGCAUGACCAUAGUGAAGGGCGCGGGGGGUGUGUAUGUGUGUGUUUGUUUUGUAUUAAUACUGGAAAGGAACACUACUCAACUGUAUUUGCUGUAUGAAAUUUUACUGUGUGUAAAAUGACAGUGAUGGGAGUCUUCACAAGGAUGCAUUUCAAUUAUCCAUCAUUAGUCCCUUUUGGCCUGUGACAUACUUAGAAAAGCAACAGAGUGCAGGAAAACAAAUGAAUACAAAUUUAAUUAUAAAAUCAACCCUUGCUGCUUCAGGGUCAGAAAAUGUAAACAUUCCUUUUAUGUUGAAACAGUGAUCUUAGCCCCAUGCAUUAAUAAAUCUCUGUGAAAACGCAAAGUAAAUAGAACUUACUUUCUCCUUCCAAGUUUCCGAUGCAAUUUACUGAAACGACAGCAAGAUCUAGGUAUCCGAAUUCUACAGUCUUCUAGAACUGAAAAUGGCCUGCCAGGAU
RNAcentral lists this long non-coding RNA (694 nucleotides) under Aquila chrysaetos chrysaetos. RNAcentral's name for it is "lncRNA (ENSACCG00020009803.1)". Lineage: Eukaryota; Metazoa; Chordata; Aves; Accipitriformes; Accipitridae. The record is from RNAcentral.